This 509-nucleotide ribosomal RNA is filed under the name uncultured bacterium. RNAcentral's name for it is "partial 16S ribosomal RNA". The stretch from base 20 to 332 matches the Rfam family "Bacterial small subunit ribosomal RNA", at positions 47 to 358 of the family's 1533-position model. The record is from RNAcentral.
GACGAACGCUGGCGGCGUGCUUAACACAUGCAAGUCGAACGGAAAGGCCCUGCUUUUGUGGGGUGCUCGAGUGGCGAACGGGUGAGUAACACGUGAGUAACCUGCCCUUGACUUUGGGAUAACUUCAGGAAACUGGGGCUAAUACCGGAUAGGAGCUCCUGCUGCAUGGUGGGGGUUGGAAAGUUUCGGCGGUUGGGGAUGGACUCGCGGCUUAUCAGCUUGUUGGUGGGGUAGUGGCUUACCAAGGCUUUGACGGGUAGCCGGCCUGAGAGGGUGACCGGCCGCGGUGGGAGGGCGAGAGGGCCCAGAGACGGAGGGGAGGCGGCGGGGGGGAGGAGUGCACGCCGGGUGGACGCGGGGUGCACGAGCGCGGCGGGGGGGAGGAGGGGGUGCGGGGGAUACUCCGGUGUCGCGUGGGCGGAGGGGGGAGGGACGGUAAUGGGUCAAGGCGCACCGGGAAACUACGGCGCAGCGGCCGGGUUGAUAAGGGGAAGAGACCACGCCCGAAC